RNAcentral lists this ribosomal RNA (137 nucleotides) under Zoroaster carinatus. RNAcentral's name for it is "partial 12S ribosomal RNA". Lineage: Eukaryota; Metazoa; Echinodermata; Asteroidea; Forcipulatida; Zoroasteridae. The record is from RNAcentral.
AAGUGAGCUACAAUAUUCCCACAGAAUUAAAAACCAAACAAUAUUAUGGAAGGGCAAAUGAACACUUUGCCCACAAAUAGGAUUCAGAAGUAAUGGUCAACAGAAAAUGCCCAUGAACACAAAGCUCUAUAAUUCGC